GAGGAGCUGCAGGAGCACGAGGAACAUCUACGCGUGACUUUGGACCUUCUCCGCGAGCAUCAGCUGUUCGCCAAGGCCUCCAAGUGCUCGUUUGCACAAACUAGCAUCGAGUACUUGGGCCAUAUCAUCUCCAAGGACGGCGUGGCAACGGACCCCAGCAAGACCAGUGCGAUGAACGCAUGGCCCGUUCCCACAAGCCAAACUGAGCUGCGCGUCUUCCUCGGCUUAACUGGCUACUACCGCAAGUUCGUCCCCCACUACGGCAUCAUGGCCAAGCCCCUGACACAGCUGCUCACCAAGAAAGGGUUUGAGUGGAACGAGAAGGCCCAGGACGCAUUCGUCAUGCUCAAGAAGGCGAUGGUGAGCACACCCGUGCUCGCACUACCGGACUGUGCGCGCCCGUUCACCAUCGAGACUGAUGCCUGUGACACUGGCAUGGGCGCGGUGCUCAUGCAAGAUGGUCACCCCAUGGCCUACCUCAGCAAGGCUUUGGGCGUGCGCAAUCAGAAGCUUUCAACCUACAAAAAAUAA
This 531-nucleotide ribosomal RNA is filed under the name Triticum aestivum (bread wheat). Its description in RNAcentral is "partial small subunit ribosomal RNA". The record is from RNAcentral. Lineage: Eukaryota; Viridiplantae; Streptophyta; Magnoliopsida; Poales; Poaceae.